This is an RNA transcript of Aphis gossypii (cotton aphid), 5836 nucleotides long. It is a transcript of the gene named FERM, ARHGEF and pleckstrin domain-containing protein 2, with no coding region annotated. The record is from RefSeq and is a predicted model, not a curated record. Lineage: Eukaryota; Metazoa; Arthropoda; Insecta; Hemiptera; Aphididae. The transcript is spliced from 2 exons.
AACAUUCCGCCGUAAACAACAUUAUUAUGUACCCAAACGUCAUUUGCACUAGACCUUGUACACGUACUAAUGUUAUCAGGUCAAAUUAUUAUGAAGAUGAUUAUGACACUGAUAAAUCAUACGCGUCCUCUAAAUAUUCUGAAACUUUUUAUAGAGAUAUUAAAUGUCAAUCUAGUCAGACUGAUUUAAUACUUAUUGACAAAUUUACCCCUUCCAUUUAUAGUUGGCAACGUAGCUCUAGCUGCAAAGAGUUUAAUUCAUCUAGGUCUUGUUCUGGAGAAACUCCUCCAGUUGAAAAUGAAGAAGUAAAUUCCUCAUUUGAUAGAAACAGUUCAGUAGAUCAUCCAAUUACAAAAAUUUUCUCAAGUAGUUAUCCGGGCACUACUUCUAGUUUAUCAACUGAAAGUGGUAGUGAUCGUAAACUUGAAAUUACUGGUAAUGUUAGGAUAUUGCCAGAUACAGAUGAUAUGUAUCAAGAUGACAUUAGUCAAGAUUCAUAUGAAUUAUUGGAAAAGGAAGUAUUUAAUAGUACUAUUAGUGAUGACGAAGAUGAAAUAUUUUAUGUUGAAAAUGAUAACAAAGAAAAUACUUUGGAAAUUGAAAAACGAUUUGGUUAUUUAGAGCCUAAAUAUAGAGAUAUAGAGUUUAAUAAGUUUAACGAAAUUUGUAAAAAAGAAUUAGCUUCCCGAAGUAAAGAACAAAUUUUUACUAAUAAUACAAUUCGAUUUAAUGCAUUUGAAAAUAAAGGUGAAACUGGUCAUGUUCCUGUGGAACGAACAAAAAGUGACUCAUAUAUGAGUGCUCCUAAACAUAAAUCUCAUAGACUACUUCAUCAAAAAUCUAUAGACCUGACACCUCUUGAUAAUUUUGAACCAAGUAUUGUUAAACUAGAUUUAGAUAUACCCUAUAUAUUACAUAAACGACACACAAUUGAGGGUUCACCUAAUGAAGAGAGUACAGUUAAAUGGUCAACAAUUAAAUGUGGUUCAGAUCAUUAUUCUCAAGACUCUGGCUUAUCAUUAUCAACACAAUCCACUGGUAACGUAAGUGUUGAAGAUGACAGUCCUGUUGAUCUAGAUGCACUUUUAUUAAAUAAAUAUCAUGAUGAUGUAGUUACAACGUCUAAAAGUUCAGAGCUUAUUCAAAUGGCAUACAAAUCAACUUCAUUUAAUGAGUCCGAAAUUAGACCAUCUUCUAGCGAAAAAAACAAUAAACUGAAGUCUUGUCAUAGUGCUGACAGUGUACCUGUGAAUAAAGGGAAGAAAAUUUGCUACCAACCUCGUAGUGCAGACAAUGGAUUAAAGAAAGAAGUGGAAGUUAUAAAAAUUGACCCUGAUGAAGUAGAGCCUAAACCUGACGAAAUAAUAAUUGUGGAAUAUAGAGGGGGGAAAGGUAAAAAAAUUAGAAGGGACUCCUUGGGUGGUAAAGAUAAUAAGAGUUUAGGAUCUGCUUCUACAUCCAUUGCUUCAAAUUCGCCUGGAAUAUCUCCGGAAAGACGUAUUUCUAAUAGCCCAAAAAAAGAUAAAUUGUUUAAGUCUUCUGCUGUGAAAGUCAAAAUUGCUUCUGCUUUAAAUUCUAAUUCUAUUCAUGUGGUUCCAAAUGUUGUGAUAAGUGAUGAUGACAAUAAUGGAAUAAAAAACAAUAAAUUAAUGGAAUACAAUACUCUUCCUGAUAUAGUGUCUAAUUCUGUAAAGAAUUCUGAUUCAAAAGUAGCUAUACAUAGUGAAACAUGGACAGUUGAAAGUAGCUGUGUAAGAAAAGAUGAAGAGCAAGUUGUUCCUGAUGGUGAUAACAGUUCUAAUGAAAUAAAAUUAAAAUUAAAAAAUGCGUUAUCCAGUAUGAUGGUUUCACAACAAACAAAAGUGCCACAAUCAAGAGAUUCUGAAUCUAAGGCUGUUAAAAUCAAUAAAUUUCAAUCUUUAGCGACAAAAAUAGCUGAUUCUGGAGGAUUAACUACUAUGAAAAAAGAUAAGUUACCUUCCGAAUUAUUGGGAAAAAUAUUGCCUGAUAAAAUAUCUCAGAAUCGAGAAAAAUCUCCUAUACUUUUUGCUAGGUUAGGUUUAUCUGAAGGUUCAGCAUUUCCAAACGUAUCUGGUCAAAACCAGUCACAAAGGCGGGCAAUAUCUUUGGAUUCACCAGUUGUUUCCCUGCAUCAACUUCCUUUAGUUACAUCAUUUUCUAGUAAAGAUGAUACAGUUGAUAAUGAAGAUGAGGUAGAGUUGGAAGAAAAACCAAUUAAAUGGUGGAAUAUUCAAGUUGACGAGACUGUUGUAGAAUGCCUUACAUAUUUAAUUAAUACUGUUGUUAAAGAAUCUAAAGAAUCUGAAGAACCUAAUAGUAUUUCAUUAUCUCCGAAUAUAACACCAGAAAGAAGACGUUCGAGUACUAGACAAGAACGUUUGGACUCAUUAAAAAAAUUAAAAAAUUUUGAAAUUGAAGUUUGGGAUUCAGAAGAAUUAAAUGUAGCAUCAGCUAUAGAUUAUGAACAUAAGGAUUUUGAAGAUGAGACAUUUAUUGUAUCUGAUAACACUUGUGCCCCUAAUACUAGUUUAUUAAUCCAAAAUAGUAAAUCUAAUAAUAAAUGUUCAACUGAUGAUGAUUGGGUGUCUGUCGAUGAUUCUGGAAGUAGUGAGGAAAUACCAUUUAAAGAACUUGACUCACAAAGUUCAGAUGAAACAAAACGUACAGCUCAAAAAACAGGUCAUAGUGUUUCAGAAAUUGUUGAGGAUACAGUAAUUGAAGCAGAGAAUUUCAUAGUAGAUAGAAAUGAUCAAAAUGAAAAAGAGCUUGAUCCUAAUUCAGAUGUAUUUAUUGAAGAAAUUGAUCAUGCUGAAUUGAUUAAUAAAUUAGGCUGCAUUGAAAUACCACCCAAGUUAGAACCUAAACGACAUCAUAAGCUUUCAUUAGAAAGUUCUGGUAGUUCAAGUCUUGAUGAUCCACCUCAUAUGGAUGAUUUGAGUGGAAAUAUUGCUGAUGAAGAAGAUGUUACGUCUAGUCCCUUACCACCAACUCCGGAUGUUACUUAUUCUGGUAUGUAUCUCAUAGGGUAUGGUAUAUAUGGAAUGUCACGUACAUUGUCUAGAAUUAGUGAACAAAGCACAUCAGAAAAAUCUGAAAUUGACGAUGAGUUAUCAACAAAAUAUUCUACUCAAUCAGCAUCAUUAGAUGAUUCAAUACUGUCUAGUGACUGUCAGCCAAGUUUAUGUUCUGAUGCAAUGGAUAGCUUACCAGAUUUGCCACCUUUACCAGAAGAAUAUGCGUUUGAUAUUCCUCCACCAGUUGAACAAUGGCCUUCACCUAAGAGUGAAGAUCUUACACCUGUAGAACAAAAACAUUUUGAUGAUGAUGAAGAUGCUAAAACAAUUCAUAAUGAAGAAUUUAUAGAAGAAACAGAAGAACCGCGUCGAGUACCAUCUACUAACAAACCUAGACUAUCAUUUGGUGACGAUACUUCAGCUGGCGUAUCUACAUCAGAAUUUUCAAGUAAUGCUACAAUACUUCACCACUAUGAUAGUGUUUGUCCACCUCCAGAAUUCUUGAAUAAAGAUUCUGAUGAAUAUGACUCACCAUUUACUGAAUCUGAUGAAUCAAAAUUCUACCGACCACCACCACAUAUGUUUGAAUUACCCAAGACUAGUAUGAAAAUUAGAAAGAAUCGUAUGGCACAUGGUCCAGCAUCACUGGAUGCACCAGGACCUAAACCAAAAACAUUAGCUACUAGAGCUCGUUGCCAUUCAUACUUCUCAUUGACUCGCAGUCCUCCUAGUGACGCUUCAUCAUCUUCACUCGAGGCACAAGAGCCACCUAACGUGCCAAAUACAAUACCUAGGGCUUCCAAAAGAAGACGUUAUACACAUACUUUAAAGAGAAAACCUAAAGUGAUACAAAUUACAAAAGUAUAGAUUAACAUUUCCAUUACAGGUCAACGUUAUAAAUAUCCAAACUUCCAUUAUAUUACAACAAAGCUAAUUUGAACCAAUGUUUUAAUGAUUAAUAAUGGCAUAUAGGGUGUAGCAUAACAAAUAUUAUUGUGUUUAAAAAAGUUAACGACAAUGAAGACUUUAUUAGAUCAUUGUCUUAGUAUUUCACAUGGUAUAUUAGUAAUUUUUCUUUAAUAUUUAUGUUUUUAUAGAUACAUACAUACAUACAUACAUAUAUACAUAUGUAUAUAUAUUCUUUUGUGGUUGUGAUAAUAAUCUUAUAAAAAUGUUGUCUUAGGGUUUUUGUUUUGUUUUAUUUUAUAAUAUUUAAAUAAUAAUUUUAUUCUGUUAAAUUGUUAUUAUUAAUUCUAAGUGAGCAGCAUAAUAUUAUAUCUUAAAACAAUUAGGUAUAUAAUAUAUUAAUGAAAACAUUUUGAAAGUUGUAAACAAUAAUAAACUGUAUUUGGUUGGGUUGAAAAAAAACAAAUAAUGUGUGUAAUUAAUAAUUAUAUUUAAUUUUAAUGGGUUUCAAAUGUGAUUAAACUGUAUUCUGGUAAUAAAUAUUAGUUUAAAGUACUUAAAACACACUUUAAAGAAUCUAUUUAAUAUUCUAUCAGAAAUUUAAUUUUUAUUUGGUGCUCAAAUAUGUUAUAUUUGAAAUAAUAAUUUAAGUUAUUUAUUUAAUCAUUAAGUUGACCUCUUAUAUUCAUAUAAAUGUUUCAUCUUGAUUGAAUAUAAUGUACAAUUUAAUUCUGAAAAAGUGAAAACUGAAUGUGUCAUCUUAUCAGUGAUCAUACAUCAUUAUUUUGUUAACCAUAUAUUUGACCAUAAAAAUAAUUAUUGACACAUUAAAAAUACAAAUAUUUAUAAAUAAUUAUUAUAAUAUUAUAAUAGACUGAUAUUGAGUAUUAUUAUGAUAAAUUACUUAUUAGAAUUUGUUUUCAAUGUAUAUAAUAUUUAGGAAAGUUAAUAUCCUUGCGAGAUUAAUUUAAUGUGACUAUACCAAAUUUUAAAAGAGAAAUAAAUGAAUUCAAAAUGUUUACUUUAGGGGUUUCAAUUUUGGUCAAAAUAAUUACAAUUCAUUCUUUUAAUUUUUAAAUUGCAAAUUUUAAGCUAAUUCUUUAACAUUAAAUCAAAUAACAAAUGGUCUUCCUUUAGUAUACAAUAUUUAACAUAAUAAUUACAUUAAAAAAAAAAAAAAGAAAUUGCUUUAAAAUAUUAGUCUUCAAAACUCAGUAUUCAUUAUUCUCUUUUAUUCUGUUGACUAUACAUUUGCUGUUAUACGUCAUUCUCUAUAUUAUUUGUAGUUAUUUCAUUUUGUUUAAUUAAAACUGACUAAUAAUUGUUAAAAGAUUCUAUAUUUUGUUGUGAUUGUUUCGUUUUAUUUUCUAUUCCUUAUUUCUUUUUUAUACACAAUUUUACAUCUAUAUAUUGCUAGAUUUCAAAAACAUUUUCAUUUUACAUAAAUGUGAAACUGCAUUUCAAUAAUUUAUACCUUGUUAUUUUUUUUUAAAUUUAUCAAUUAGGUAUUUAGAUAUAUUUUUUUUGUAAAUUUUUUAUAAAUAAUUUAUUAUACUUAUUAUACCUAGGUACUAUUUUACUAUGUACAUAAAUGACUAUAAAAAAUAUUAUAAUUAAUAAAAAGUCAAUAAAUUAAAAAACAAAAUAUGAUUUAAUAAUUUUUAAUAAUUCCCAUAUUAUACACUUUUUUUUAAUGAAUGUCACUUUAAAUCAUUCAUGUUAUGCAUAUCCGGUUUUACCCAAUGGAGUUAAGUGACAUUCCUGAAGAAGUAGAUUCACCAUUUAAGAAAAUCAAUGGAUCAGCAUUGUGUUUGUCUUCCAUGUCUGUUAAAGAAAAUGGUGUAGUGGCAAUGACAUCAUCCACCCCGAAAAACAAUGUUACUAAUGGAUCAUUA